Molecule: ribosomal RNA, 403 nt
Filed under: uncultured bacterium
Lineage: Bacteria
Description: partial 16S ribosomal RNA
Rfam family: Bacterial small subunit ribosomal RNA
Source: RNAcentral
GACGAACGCUGGCGGCGUGCCUAAUACAUGCAAGUCGAACGCAGUGGGGACGGGUGAGUAACACGUGGGUAACCUCCCAUCAGAGGGGAUAACACUUGGAAACAGGUGCUAAACCGAUACUGAUGGAUGGACUCGCGGUGCAUUAGCUAGUUGGUGAGGUAACGGCUCACCAAGGCCACGAUGCAUAGCCGCCCUGUGAGGGUGAUCGUCCACACGUGGACUGGGACACGGCCCAGACUCCUACGGGGGGCAGCAGUAGGGAAUCUUCGGCAAUGGACGAAAUUCUGACCGAGCAACGCCGCGUGCGUGAAGAAGGUUUGCGGAUCGUAAAACUCUGUUGUUAGUGAAGAGGUAUCUAACCAGAAAGCCACGGCUAACUACGUGCCAGCAGCCGCGGUAAUUC